UGCACAGAAAGGCUACAAGGUGCGGUC
Molecule: non-coding RNA, 27 nt
Filed under: Homo sapiens (human)
Lineage: Eukaryota; Metazoa; Chordata; Mammalia; Primates; Hominidae
Source: RNAcentral